UACGGGGGGAGCAAACGUUGUUCGGAAUUACUGGGCGUAAAGGGCGCGUAGGCGGUCCUGUAAGUGGUGUGUGAAAUCCGAUGGCUCAACCAUCGAGCUGCGCUCCAUACUGCAGGACUUGAGUACAGCAGAGGAAAGUGGAAUUCCCGGUGUAGCGGUGAAAUGCGUAGAUAUCAAGAGGAACACCAGUGGCGAAGGCGGCUGCCUGGGCCUGGCCUGACGCUGAGGCGCGAAAGCGUGGGGAGCAAUCCGG
RNAcentral lists this ribosomal RNA (253 nucleotides) under uncultured bacterium. RNAcentral describes it as "partial 16S ribosomal RNA". It matches the Rfam family "Bacterial small subunit ribosomal RNA", at positions 524 to 776 of the family's 1533-position model. The record is from RNAcentral.